CGAGUGGCGAACGGGUGAGUAACGCGUGAGGAACCUGCCUCAAAGGGGGGGACAACAGUUGGAAACGACUGCUAAUACCGCAUAAGCCCACGGCUCGGCAUCGAGCAGAGGGAAAAGGAACAAUCCGCUUUGAGAUGGCCUCGCGUCCGAUUAGCUAGUUGGUGAGGUAACGGCCCACCAAGGCGACGAUCGGUAGCCGGCCUGAGAGGGUAAACGGCCACAUUGGGACUGAGACACGGCCCAA
RNAcentral lists this ribosomal RNA (244 nucleotides) under uncultured bacterium. Its description in RNAcentral is "partial 16S ribosomal RNA". It matches the Rfam family "Bacterial small subunit ribosomal RNA", at positions 92 to 334 of the family's 1533-position model. The record is from RNAcentral.